GCCCUUGUAGCUCAGUGGUAGAGCACUCCCUUGGUAAGGGAGAGGUCACGUGUUCAAUCCACGUCAAGGGCACCA
This 75-nucleotide transfer RNA is filed under the name Oxalobacter formigenes. RNAcentral's name for it is "tRNA-Thr". It matches the Rfam family "tRNA". Rfam says of the family: Transfer RNA (tRNA) molecules are approximately 80 nucleotides in length. Their secondary structure includes four short double-helical elements and three loops (D, anti-codon, and T loops). Further hydrogen bonds mediate the characteristic L-shaped molecular structure. tRNAs have two regions of fundamental functional importance: the anti-codon, which is responsible for specific mRNA codon recognition, and the 3' end, to which the tRNAs corresponding amino acid is attached (by aminoacyl-tRNA synthetases). tRNAs cope with the degeneracy of the genetic code in two manners: having more than one tRNA (with a specific anti-codon) for a particular amino acid; and 'wobble' base-pairing, i.e. permitting non-standard base-pairing at the 3rd anti-codon position. RNAcentral also lists the same sequence under 9 other names. The record is from RNAcentral. Lineage: Bacteria; Pseudomonadati; Pseudomonadota; Betaproteobacteria; Burkholderiales; Oxalobacteraceae.